Acomys russatus (golden spiny mouse) is the source of this 183-nucleotide small nuclear RNA. RefSeq annotates it as U2 spliceosomal RNA. The record is from RefSeq and is a predicted model, not a curated record. The transcript has a single exon. NCBI's taxonomy places the organism in Eukaryota, Metazoa, Chordata, Mammalia, Rodentia, Muridae.
GCUGCUUUUGGGGCUUUCGGCCAAGAUCAAGUGUAGCGUCUGUCUAAUCAUUUUGCUUUCUGAUGUGUUCUCUCUCCAAGAAUAAUAUAGUGUGUAUAUUUUGGGAGUAAGGAGAUAGAGUAGGAACAUGCUAUACAUUCAUUCCACGAACAGACCUGAUACUGCAGGAGUUGUGCACCCUGU